GAACGCCUGGGGAGGUGCGGCAGUCGAUCAUCGUAUGCUGCCGUGCUCGCUUCUUGGCGUUC
This 62-nucleotide non-coding RNA is filed under the name Pseudomonas sp. 9Ag. Its description in RNAcentral is "gabT". It matches the Rfam family "gabT RNA". Lineage: Bacteria; Pseudomonadati; Pseudomonadota; Gammaproteobacteria; Pseudomonadales; Pseudomonadaceae. The record is from RNAcentral.